AGUGAACGCUGGCGGUAGGCCUAACACAUGCAAGUCGAACGGCAGCACAGUAAGAGCUUGCUCUUACGGGUGGCGAGUGGCGGACGGGUGAGGAAUACAUCGGAAUCUACUUUUUCGUGGGGGUUAACGUAGGGAAACUUACGCUAAUACCGCAUACGACCUACGGGUGAAAGCAGUGGAUCUUCGGACCUUGCGCGAUUGAAUGACCCGAUGUGGGAUUAGCUAGUUGGCGGGGUAAAGGCCCACCAAGUGGACGAUCCGUAGCUGGUCUGAGAGAAUGGUAGCCCACAUUGGAACUGGAACAGGGUCCAUGCUCCUGCGGGAGGCAGCAGUGGGGAAUAUUGGACAGUGGGCGCAAGCCUGAUACAGCCAUACCGAGUGGGUGAAGAAGGCCUUCGGGUUGUAAAGCCCUUUUGUUGGGAAAGAAAAGCAUCAGGUUAAUACCACGCUGUUCUGACGGUACCCAAAGAAUAAGCACCGGCUAACUUCGUG
RNAcentral lists this ribosomal RNA (492 nucleotides) under uncultured bacterium. RNAcentral's name for it is "partial 16S ribosomal RNA". It matches the Rfam family "Bacterial small subunit ribosomal RNA", at positions 29 to 507 of the family's 1533-position model. The record is from RNAcentral.